AGCCCACAUCCUCGGAGUACGCCGCCCUGCUGAGGGACACCCAGGACCAGUAACCACACUGGAGUGGACUCCCUGUGUACCUUGCCGCCUUGGCACAGAGACUGGACAGAGUUGCCAUCUAUGAGGAAUUCCUGUGGCUGACCCAGAAUGGUACCCAGCUGCAGAACUUGACCCUGGACAGGAAGAGUGUCCUUGGGGAUGAAUAUUCUGCCAACAGAGAUGACACCUUGACUGAGAAGCCUAGUAAACCUGCAGGAAGCCCCAGC
Diceros bicornis minor is the source of this 266-nucleotide long non-coding RNA. RefSeq lists it as uncharacterized. NCBI's taxonomy places the organism in Eukaryota, Metazoa, Chordata, Mammalia, Perissodactyla, Rhinocerotidae. The transcript has 3 exons. The record is from RefSeq and is a predicted model, not a curated record.